RNAcentral lists this ribosomal RNA (209 nucleotides) under uncultured bacterium. RNAcentral describes it as "partial 16S ribosomal RNA". It matches the Rfam family "Bacterial small subunit ribosomal RNA", at positions 524 to 731 of the family's 1533-position model. The record is from RNAcentral.
UACGAAGGGGGGCUAGCGUUGCUCGGAAUCACUGGGCGUAAAGCGCACGUAGGCGGCUUCUUAAGUCAGGGGUGAAAUCCUGGAGCUCAACUCCAGAACUGCCUUUGAUACUGAGGAGCUUGAGUCCGGGAGAGGUGAGUGGAACUGCGAGUGUAGAGGUGAAAUUCGUAGAUAUUCGCAAGAACACCAGUCGGCGAAGGCGGAGCUCG